AAGGCGCUUGAGAGAACUCGGGUAAAGGAACUAGGCAAAAUGGUGCCGUAACUUCGGGAGAAGGCACGCCGGCAUAGGGUGAAGAGACUUGCUCUCCUAGCCCGAACCGGUCGAAGAUACCAGGUGGCUGCAACUGUUUAUUAAAAACACAGCACUCUGCAAACACGAAAGUGGACGUAUAGGGUGUGACGCCUGCCCGGUGCCGGAAGGUUAAUUGAUUGGGUUAGCUUCGGCGAAGCUCAUGAUCGAAGCCCCGGUAAACGGCGGCCGUAACGAUAACGGUC
Molecule: ribosomal RNA, 284 nt
Filed under: uncultured Vexilliferidae
Lineage: Eukaryota; Discosea; Flabellinia; Dactylopodida; Vexilliferidae
Description: partial Bacterial large subunit ribosomal RNA
Rfam family: Bacterial large subunit ribosomal RNA
Source: RNAcentral